CAUCGGAACGUGCCCAANCUGGGGGAUAACGCAGCGAAAGCUGUGCUAAUACCGCAUACGAUCUACGGAUGAAAGCAGGGGAUCGCAAGACCUUGCGCGAAUGGAGCGGCCGAUGGCAGAUUAGGUAGUUGGUGAGGUAAAGGCUCACCAAGCCUUCGAUCUGUAGCUGGUCUGAGAGGACGACCAGCCACACUGGGACUGAGACACGGCCCAGACUCCUACGGGAGGCAGCAGCG
RNAcentral lists this ribosomal RNA (236 nucleotides) under uncultured Variovorax sp. RNAcentral's name for it is "partial 16S ribosomal RNA". It matches the Rfam family "Bacterial small subunit ribosomal RNA", at positions 116 to 356 of the family's 1533-position model. Lineage: Bacteria; Pseudomonadati; Pseudomonadota; Betaproteobacteria; Burkholderiales; Comamonadaceae. The record is from RNAcentral.